RNAcentral lists this ribosomal RNA (253 nucleotides) under uncultured bacterium. Its description in RNAcentral is "partial 16S ribosomal RNA". It matches the Rfam family "Bacterial small subunit ribosomal RNA", at positions 524 to 776 of the family's 1533-position model. The record is from RNAcentral.
UACGUAGGGUGCAAGCGUUAAUCGGAAUUACUGGGCGUAAAGCGUGCGCAGGCGGUUUUGUAAGACUGUCGUGAAAUCCCCGGGCUCAACCUGGGAAUGGCGAUGGUGACUGCAAGGCUAGAGUUUGGCAGAGGGGGGUAGAAUUCCAUGUGUAGCAGUGAAAUGCGUAGAUAUGUGGAGGAACACCGAUGGCGAAGGCAGCCCCCUGGGUCAAAACUGACGCUCAUGCACGAAAGCGUGGGGAGCAAACAGG